RNAcentral lists this long non-coding RNA (370 nucleotides) under Ananas comosus (pineapple). RNAcentral's name for it is "long non-coding RNA (ACOM_LNC033982)". Lineage: Eukaryota; Viridiplantae; Streptophyta; Magnoliopsida; Poales; Bromeliaceae. The record is from RNAcentral.
AUGCUUGUUUUUAACUGUUGAGUAUAAAUAUUAAGGAUAAUAGUUUUUAAUAUUUUUUAAAAAAAUAAUUUUUUUAAUGGUUGUUUUAUAUAAUUUAAUAUAGUAUCAAAAUAGGAGAUCCUAAGUUUGAGUUCCGCCUACUCCAAGUGUUAUUUAAUUUUCUCUCAUGUAAUUCAAGCCUACGUUUUAUGUUAAUUAAAAAGUUUUGAGCUCAGACGUAAGAGUGAGCAUUAAAUAUAAAUACUAAAAACACCGCUCUUUUAAAACUUAAGCUGUCAGAAAAUAAUAUUUAUUUCAUAUUUCAUAUAAUUUAACGUUAACUAUAUUUUCCUUCUUUCAUUAAUUUAUUAAUUCCUUUUAUACCAGAAUG